UUAUGUUAAUAUUGAUUCACAUAUCCUGUGCACUCCCGUCAUAGCAGACAUUGAUAAUGAUGGGGUAUCAGAAAUGAUUGUUGCAGUUUCAUACUUCUUUGACCAUGAGUAUUAUGACAAUCCAGAUAAUUUGAAAGAACUGGGUGGCAUUGAUAUUGGAAAAUAUGUUGCCGGUUCUAUUGUUGUAUUUAACCUUGACAC
This 201-nucleotide unclassified non-coding RNA is filed under the name Hevea brasiliensis (rubber tree). The record is from RNAcentral. Lineage: Eukaryota; Viridiplantae; Streptophyta; Magnoliopsida; Malpighiales; Euphorbiaceae.